Stegodyphus dumicola is the source of this 3133-nucleotide long non-coding RNA. The record is from RefSeq and is a predicted model, not a curated record. Lineage: Eukaryota; Metazoa; Arthropoda; Arachnida; Araneae; Eresidae.
AAAGUUUAUGUGGAACUUAAAAAUUCUUAUUUUUUUGUUGGAAAAAAUGGAAGAGAUGAAAUUUUUUUCUAGCAUUAAUACUUCGAUGCAAAAGAAACCGCAUGAAUUUCUUGUUACGCGUCCUUUUCCGAUAGCUGAGUGGUCAGCGCGCUGUUCUGUUGGCGGAGGAAUGGAAAGGUGGCAAGUCGGACCUCACCCGUAGACGCUCUGGUGCUACCAAGAAAGACAGAAAUUCUUUAUAAUAUCCACCACUUGACGAUCGACUGGGAAAGGAGAAAUCCAGCCACCAAAUCCAGAUAGUAACGAAUUAACAUCCAAAACAUUUUACGUGGGUACCACUGUAGAGUCCUUUUUGGAAUGAGAAUCGUGUAAAACCAGUUACGUCCUUCAUCAAGAUUAAAAUCAUGGAUCUUCUGAUUACUAAAUGAAAAUGCUACUAGUUACAACGCUGUGAUAGCACGGACUACCAAAGAUUAUAAUUCUUUGUAUUCCCUUCCAAUGAAAAGGCAGGUGGCGAGAGAGAAACCAGAAGUGACUGGGUCUCUUCCUUCUCUCCUGUCAGCGAAAUCCUGAUAAUGACAAAUUAUCAUACACCACAUUUUAGGUUAGGUUAAUUGAAUAUGGCAAAGCACACAAUGGCAAUCAACCUAAGAGUAGGGAUAUGCCUUUGUAGAGGAUAUUUCUAAAGGAAGCUAACUAGUAUUUACCUUAAAUAUGUCAUCACUUUUAAUUAGAGGCUUCUGAAGAGCUUUAGGGUCAAAAAUCAACUACAGCUUUGCCAGGAUUUGAACCACGAUCUUCCAACUUGUAACCGGACAUGCUAUCAGUUAGAUUAUGAGAACUUGUAGUGAGGAAGGUUAAAUUUUUUAUAAUCUAAUCACAAGGCAUGGAUGAUGUAGAAACUGUCUCAAGAAGAUCUGUAAAUCUUGUUUUUCAUUGACAACUGCAGUGGAAGACACUAAGGAAAAUGUAUAAUAAUUCAUACAAUCAAACUGUGUGUCAAAUAAUUAACAGAAAGCAUUUUAAAUAUAAUAUUUAUUCACGAACACUGAUUUAGACUGAUAAGCCAGUUACCACUCUAAUCUAAAUUAAAAGGACAAAGUUGUGUGAAAUUUAAAAUAACCUUUUUACUAACUGAAAUUUAACAGCCUUAUUAACUAAAAAAAAAAAGAUAGAUAAAUCUCUUACAUAAAAACAAUGGAAUUUUAAAAGAUAUGCUACACAGUAUAGAUAGAAUGUUGUUGGGAUAUAUAUACAUAUAUAGGGUGUUUCAACAACAGUUACAAACUUUCAGGAGAGAUAAGAGUACACGGAGAUGAUGCACAGAUAGCAAUGCAUGGUCAGAAACACUUUUCCUGGUAUGGUGGUGAUGACACAAAUUACAAGAAAGGAAGGACACAAAUAGGGUAAGAAAACAUGUCUAUGCACAGCAGAAACCAAGGAAUAAGAACAAAAACAGAUAAUGAUCGUCAUCAAAGGUGGGUGUUCGAAAUUACCCUGGACAGUGAUGCAGUGUGUCAUGCACCUUCCCUGUGCCAGGGAUGCGAGAUAUCUUUCAUUAUUUAAAGUUGGUAGAUAUAAUAUAUGCCACCCUAAAUGAUCUUGCUACCAUGCAUUUUCUUUCCCAAGUUCACUGAACUGAUACUUCAAUAGUUAUUUUAAUCAUUAAUGAUGUCACAUGAUUCAUAAAGCAUGAUAUAUUAAUCGGAGUAAGACCCUGAUUAUCUGACAAAUCGAAUAAUGCUUUAAAUUAAAAUGACCAGCUGUGGUACCUGCAUCCUAUACAAUGUUCAAUCCUUGUUUCAAUCCUCAAUGAUAUGCCUGGAAUAAAUUUCUGAUAUGUUUAUGUUAACUCGUCCAAUGCAGAGACAGAACUAUUACUUUUUACCUGGUCAAUGAUCUCUCUCACUGUUUCUGAUUAUUCUCAUUUUCAAAAGCAAUACUUAUAUACUUGUAAAUGUAAACAUUGUAGUUGUUUAAUAUUGAAAUUUCAAUUCUUUUUUUUUACUUACAUAUGCAUAUUUUAAAAUAUGAACUCUUUUUUUAUGCUUGUAACAUUUUUUGUGAUCUCUAUGGGUGUUGAGGUUACAAUAGUUUUUUAGUAGUUCAGAAUGGUAAACGGCUCAAGAACCAAGAUAUUUAAAAUAACGUGUUAUUAAAAUUCUUUUUUUUCACACAUUUCUUUUUACUAUGCAAGAAAGUAUGUAAUUUUUAAUUUUGGAGUACUCCCAAUUGCAGCUGUGUGCCCAUAACACAUUUUUUUUUCUCUUCGCCUUUUAGAAUCGUGUGAACCAAGUUGUUGAAGUCACUGCUAACAUUAAGAAUAAUAACUAUAUUAAAAAUAAAUGAUAAUUAAAGUAGGCACCUUAUGCAUUUCAUAACAUCAAAGCAGUUCACAGAAUACAAAUCAUAAAAUUAGAUCAUAAUUAACAAAGCUUAUGACAAACAAAUGUAUGGAUUUUAUUAUUCAAAUCUUAAAAUUCACAAUUUUAAAUAUAUAAAAAUGACAUUUUUUUCCUGUUUUACAAAAUAAAAGUUGUAAAACUUUAGCUUCCAUUUAGAUUGCUUUACAAAUCAUUCUCAUCCACAGCUUUAGAACAAAGAAUAAUUAAAAUAAACAUUUUGAUAUUUUCUAAUGUUUUCAGAUACUAGUUUACUAUUUUUGUAUGUUAACAGUUCAAAUUAACUUUGUGAAUAAACAUGCCAGAAGAGUAAAAAAUUGAACAAAAAUUUAGAACCUUUUUUAAUACUCCAAAUAGUAAAUUAUUUACAGGUAAAGACAUUUGGAGCAAAUCAUUCGGAUACUUUCAUCAAUUUACACCCUAAAUAUAUAUAUCUAUAUAUAUAAGAUUGAAAUGAAAAGGAUAGUUAAAAUUAGCUAAAGCUUUAAAAAACAUUUGAUGCAGCUAAUUCCAAAGUUUACAUGUAACACCAAGUUAAAACAAUUACACUAAAUGAAAGCAGUUAAAUUUUAUGUGAAAUAACCUACUGAAAAUACUACAGAGUUGAAUAAAACCUAUACAACAAAAUCAAAAAAGAACUUUGAAAAUACUAAAAAAAAUUUCUUUUAAAACCUAUACCACAAAAUCAAAUUUAGUUCAUUUAAAAAAACCUAUACAACAAAAUCAAAUUU